Molecule: ribosomal RNA, 449 nt
Filed under: uncultured bacterium
Lineage: Bacteria
Description: partial 16S ribosomal RNA
Rfam family: Bacterial small subunit ribosomal RNA
Source: RNAcentral
CCUACGGGUGGCUGCAGUGGGGAAUUUUGGACAAUGGGCGCAAGCCUGAUCCAGCCAUUCCGCGUGAGUGAAGAAGGCCUUCGGGUUGUAAAGCUCUUUCGCAAGGGAAGAAAACUUAUCCUCUAACAUAGGAUGAGGUUGACGGUACCUUGAUAAGAAGCACCGGCUAACUACGUGCCAGCAGCCGCGGUAAUACGUAGGGUACUAGCGUUAGUCGGAAUUGCGCGGCGUAAAUCGUGCGUAGGCUGUGAAAUCACCGAGCUCAACUUGGGAACUGCGUUUGAAACUACAAGACUAGAGUAGGUCAGAGGGGGGUAGAAUUCCACGUGUAGCAGUGAAAUGCGUAGAGAUGUGGAGGAAUAUCAAUGGCGAAGGCAGCCCCCUGGGAUCAUAUUGACGCUCAUGCACGAAAGCGUGGGGAGCAAACAGGAUUAGAUACCCGUGUAGUC